Felis catus (domestic cat) is the source of this 85-nucleotide non-coding RNA. NCBI's taxonomy places the organism in Eukaryota, Metazoa, Chordata, Mammalia, Carnivora, Felidae. The record is from Rfam.
GCCUGGGUGGCUCAGUCGGUUAAGCGUCCGACUUCGGCUCAGGUCACGAUCUCGCGGUCCGUGGGUUCGAGCCCCGCGUCGGGCU